RNAcentral lists this ribosomal RNA (407 nucleotides) under uncultured bacterium. RNAcentral describes it as "partial 16S ribosomal RNA". It matches the Rfam family "Bacterial small subunit ribosomal RNA", at positions 30 to 526 of the family's 1533-position model. The record is from RNAcentral.
AUUGAACGCUGGCGGCAGGCCUAACACAUGCAAGUCGAGCGGAUCGGCGGCCGGGUGAGUAAUGCCUAGGAAUCUGCCUGGUCGUGGGGGAUAGCGUCCGGAAACGGGCGCUAAUACCACAUCCUAUCAGAUUAGCCUAGGUCGGCUUGGCUAGGUGGUGUGGUAAAGGCCUACCAAGGCGACGAUCCGUAACUGGUCUGAGAGGAUGAGCAGUCACACUGGAACUGAGACACGGUCCAGACUCCUACGGGAGGCAGCAGUGGGGAAUAUUGGACAAUGGGCGAAAGCCUGAUGCAGCCAUGCCGCGUGUGUGAAGAAGGCCUUCGGGUUGUAAAGCACUUUCAGCGGGGAGGCGUUACCCGCAGAAGAAGCACCGGCUAACUCCGUGCCAGCAGCCGCGGUAAUAC